RNAcentral lists this ribosomal RNA (253 nucleotides) under uncultured bacterium. RNAcentral describes it as "partial 16S ribosomal RNA". It matches the Rfam family "Bacterial small subunit ribosomal RNA", at positions 524 to 776 of the family's 1533-position model. The record is from RNAcentral.
UACGUAGGGUGCAAGCGUUGUCCGGAAUUAUUGGGCGUAAAGAGCUCGUAGGCGGUUCGUCGCGUCGGCUGUGAAAUCCCGAGGCUCAACCUCGGGUCUGCAGUCGAUACGGGCGGACUGGAGUACUGCAGGGGAGACUGGAAUUCCUGGUGUAGCGGUGAAAUGCGCAGAUAUCAGGAAGAACACCUAUGGCGAAGGCAGCUCUCUGGGACGGUACUGACGCUGAGACGCGAAAGCGUGGGGAGCGAACAGG